RNAcentral lists this long non-coding RNA (1148 nucleotides) under Homo sapiens (human). RNAcentral's name for it is "non-protein coding lnc-SUCLG1-2:1". The record is from RNAcentral. Lineage: Eukaryota; Metazoa; Chordata; Mammalia; Primates; Hominidae.
UGAUUAUGGAAGAAAUAUUUGUAGAGGACCUUCUUGCCUAAUGGCAUAAACCCCUGUGGAUUUUGUGGGAGUCCUUAGGCUUUUGAAAAUGUAAUAUCAGCAGAAACAUUGCCAACCUGUACUGAACAGUACAGAGAGAAGUUAAAAUGGAGGAAGAAUGGCUCUGAGGAGGGAGCCUCUGAUGUCUAGGCUCAUAAGACCUAUUGGUUCCAGAAGGUGGGAUCAACUCUUGGUUCUGAAGUGUGAGGCUGCCAUUCAAGACCAAGUAAGAAGGCUACCUUGGAAGGCCCAGAAGACAGAGUAUUGAGCCAGAGAGAAUUAUACUCAAGUCUUAAAACCUAAAUGGAAAAAAUCUUUGCUUGAGAAGGAACCAUAUCCUGAGUCUUACCCAUAAAAGGAUUUUGAUGAGAUUUUGGACCUUAAGUUGAUAUUGGAAUAGUUAAGACUUUUGGAUCAGGUGAAUGUGGUUUGCAUACAGAAAGGCCAUGCUUUAUUUUUAUUUUUAUUUUUUGAUGGGGGAAGCAAAGGGAAGACUUUUAAAGGUUGAAUUGUGUCCCCAAAAGCUAUGUUGGAGUCUUAAUUCUCAGUAUCUCAGAAGGUGAAUUUACCUGGAAAUAGAUUGCAGCAGAUGAAAUUAAUUAAGUUAAUACAAGGUUAUACUAGAUUAGGAUGGGCUUCUAGUUCAAUAUGACUGAGAUUAUUAUAAGACAACAAAAUAAAUACAUGAAAAAACACAAAAAUGCAGGGAGAGUUCUAUAUAAUGGUGAAUUCAGAGAUUGAAAUUUUGCAGUUGCAAAGGAUGAAAAGUUAAAGAUUAUUGGUGGUACCAGAAGCUAAAACCAUGGAACAUAUUCUCCCUUACAGUCUUCAAGAAAGCAUGAGUAUGCUGACACAUUGAUUUUGGACUUCUAGCCUCAGACCAUUGAGAGAAAAUUAAUUUAUGUUGUUUUCAGCCACCCAGUUUGUGGCACUUUGUUAUAGCAGCCCUGGGAAACUAGUGCACUAAAUGUAUAUACAUAAGCUUUUUUUUGUAGCAUCUUUGAGCUGUCAUGUAUUUUUAAAUAUUUGAUUGCUAAAAAUUUGCUAUUACUGAAGGGAUUCUGAAGGGCUACUGGCUCCACAUAUUUUACACAUUAAACCUUUCCAAG